Molecule: ribosomal RNA, 846 nt
Filed under: uncultured archaeon
Lineage: Archaea
Description: bacterial SSU rRNA
Rfam family: Archaeal small subunit ribosomal RNA
Source: RNAcentral
ACGGCUCAGUAACACGUGAUCAACUUACCCUAUAGAGGAAAAUAACCUCGGGAAACUGAGGAUAAUGUUCCAUAGUUGAAUCGGCUUGGAAAAGUUUUUCAAUAAAAGGGAUAAGGAAAAUGGUUCUUAUCUGCUAUAGGAUAGGAUCGUGCUCGAUUAUGGUUGUUGGUGAGGUAAAGGCUCACCAAGCCGAUAAUCGAUAGGGGCCGUGAGAGCGGGAGCCCCGAGAUGGGUACUGAGACAACGACCCAGGCCUUACGAGGCGCAGCAGGCGCGAAACCUCCGCAAUACACGAAAGUGUGACGGGGUUACCCAAAGUGUUCUAUUUAGAACUGUGGUAGGUGAGUAAUGUCCCCUACUAGAAAGGAGAGGGCAAGGCUGGUGCCAGCCGCCGCGGUAAAACCAGCUCUUCAAGUGGUCGGGAUAAUUAUUGGGCUUAAAGUGUCCGUAGCCGGUUUAGUAAGUUCCUGGUAAAAUCGGGUAGCUUAACUAUCUAUAUGCUAGGAAUACUGCUAUACUAGAGGGCGGGAGAGGUCUGAGGUACUACAGGGGUAGGGGUGAAAUCUUAUAAUCCUUGUAGGACCACCAGUGGCGAAGGCGUCAGACUGGAACGCGCCUGACGGUGAGGGACGAAAGCCAGGGGAGCGAACCGGAUUAGAUACCCGGGUAGUCCUGGCCGUAAACGAUGCAUACUAGGUGAUGGCACGGCCAUGAGCCGUGUCAGUGCCGUAGGGAAACCGUUAAGUGUGCCGCCUGGGAAGUACGGUCGCAAGGCUAAAACUUAAAGGAAUUGGNGGGGGAGCACCACANGGGUGAANCCUGNGNUUCAAUUGGANUCAACGCCGG